GUUGACCUCGGAUCAGGUAGGGAUACCCGUUGUGCCCUGGAGCCCGGCGGAUCGGCGUCCAUGAAGCCCACAUCCACAGUUGACCUCGGAUCAGGUAGGGAUACCCG
This 107-nucleotide ribosomal RNA is filed under the name Keissleriella phragmiticola. Its description in RNAcentral is "partial 28S ribosomal RNA". The record is from RNAcentral. Lineage: Eukaryota; Fungi; Ascomycota; Dothideomycetes; Pleosporales; Lentitheciaceae.